CCUACGGGGGGCUGCAGUGAGGAUUAUUGGUCAAUGGACGAGAGUCUGAACCAGCCAAGUAGCGUGAAGGAUGACUGCCCUAUGGGUUGUAAACUUCUUUUAUAUGGGAAUAAAAUGUUCCACGUGUGGGAUUUUGUAUGUACCAUAUGAAUAAGGAUCGGCUAACUCCGUGCCAGCAGCCGCGGUAAUACGGAGGAUCCGAGCGUUAACCGGAUUUAUUGGGUUUAAAGGGAGCGUAGGUGGAUUGGUAAGUCAGUUGUGAAAGUUUGCGGCUCAACCGUAAAAUUGCAGUUGAAACUGGCAGUCUUGAGUACAGUAGAGGUGGGCGGAAUUCGUGGUGUAGCGGUGAAAUGCUUAGAUAUCACGAAGAACUCCGAUUGCGAAGGCAGUUCACUGGACUGCAAUUGACACUGAGGCUCGAAAGUGUGGGUAUCAAACAGGAUUAGAUACCCUAGUAGUC
RNAcentral lists this ribosomal RNA (460 nucleotides) under uncultured bacterium. Its description in RNAcentral is "partial 16S ribosomal RNA". It matches the Rfam family "Bacterial small subunit ribosomal RNA", at positions 338 to 795 of the family's 1533-position model. The record is from RNAcentral.